CUCGUGCUAGGUUUCAUAAGUGUCUAACUAAGCUUAAGUAAAUUAGCCACUCAUAGCAAGUAAAACAAAACAAAUAUUAGUUGUAAGCAACAUGAAUUACAAACUGAGUCUUUGAAAGGAAAAUUCCUCAAAUCGUCGGGCUUCCCUCCUCUCGAUUAGUUGAAAUUUCGGGCUGCUAUUCCAGAGAGUGGAUCGACUUUUGCUGGUUCAAUUUGAGAUUUUUUCCCUUUCCUUGCUCGAGUGCCAAGUACCCCCUGCUCUUCUGUUUUCGACUCCCCCUUUUAAGCUGCUGAACGCCCCUUUUUUAAUGGAAUAUUCAAAAUUUGACCUGCUCAUUCUUCUUAUCCUUUCGCAUAAAAAUAGCUCCAACUCACUUAGAGUGUCAUUUCAAUUUUACUUCUUAAAGCUGAACAGGAUCAUUUAACUUUAAUUAAAUUCGGUCACCACUCCAAGAGGGAAAUUAAAUAAAUCCUUUGCUUAAUUUGCUGCACAUUCGGUCUGCUGCACUUCUAUUGGACCGAAUUUUCUUCUUUUGUCCCAAUGCCAAUUUAAUUUCUUCAAAACCAGCAUAUGAUCAUCCUCAUCCAGCAGCUUUAUUCAUGCAAAUUAAAUUCUAAAUGGAGCCCAUACGGACAUCAAAAUGUCCUUUACCUGCGCAUGAAUUAAAAUUAACAUUAAAUUGUUGAAUUGGAGCAAAAUUAAAUUAUUACGGCAUGGAUGUACUUAAUCAAUUUAGGCUGAAUUAUAAAUUAAUUGAUCAAAAGAUUAAUCAACAAUUUAAAUAAUUUAGCUGAAUAAAUUAAGCUCAAAAUUUAACUUAACACCUACUAUGGCAAAGACUUCCUUGAUAACACUGAUUUGAAUACAUUUGAGAAUAUAGAAAUGGAAGAUGUUGUUAAAUAUUUAACUUAGGGUAGAGGUACAUGGAAUUAUAAGCCGGUUACAACCUUACCAACUAAUUUUAGUCAAGCAAUAAUGUUUCCAGUAGUGAAAAUGUGGAUGAAAUUCAUAGGUACUAGAAUUGCACCCACAUUGAAUGUUUCUAACGUUAAUACUUUUCGAUCCAUUCUUUUGUAUGGUAUUUUGUAAUGAAAGCAAAUAUGUGUGGACAAGUGGAUUUAUUGUGAGAUGAGGUGCUGUGUGAAAAGCCAAAAAGCUGGGCUUUUCUUUCCUCACCUCGUGACAACAUUGUGUCGAGAAGCAGAAGUUCCAAUGGGAGAAAAUGAGCAGUUUAUGAAGCCAAAAAAGAGUAUAAUUGGAGAUUCACUAUAUAAACAAUAUUUUGAGCUUCAGAGGAAGCAAUUUAUUGAUUGAAACCAGAGGAGGAAAGAAAAUAUGGAUAUUUCGAUGUCACUAAAGUGGAAGGAAAAAUUGAAAAAUUGAAAUAUCGGAAAGGGGCAAGUGGGAGCAUCGAAGAAAAAAUUUAUGGAAUGAUCAGAUGGAUGCAGGAGACGGGCCCAAUACUUCAAGAAUUUUCCCAAAUGAAUGGAUUAAGAGCAUUGAAUUCCGCCAGACAUGUUCAGUCCAACACAAAUCUAUUAUAUUGAUGAAGAGGAAAGAUGAGAUAGAAGACUAGUAUCUCUAGAGGAAUAUGGACGAGUAUAAAGUAGUAUUUCAGCCACAAUACUCCACACCAAAAGGGCCCAUCAUCCGAAGCCCAACCAAACAUGCACCUUCGACGAGAGGGACUUCCCAUAAUGAAUAUGGGUCGGGAAAAGGAAAAGCACUGAUGGUGAGGGGGCAAUUGCCCUAUUUUGAUGAUUCGAAUGAUGAUUAAACUAGAUUUUUCAUUUUUCAAUUAUGGGAUUGUAUUAACUUGGAUAAACCUUAGUUUUUUUUAGAAGUAGGAGUAACAAGAGAUUUUUGUUUGACUUUUUGCAAUAUUUAGAAUUUUCUGUGUAGGAACCUCACAUGAAGAAGCAGAACGAUUCUAAUAUUGCAACGAUCAAAGGGGGAGGAACCCAUUAAUAGUCUGUAGAACUAUCUCGAUCAAUUGGGUAACUUCUUACCUUAUCUUUAUAGAGGCUACACAUUGAGGACAAUGUGUUAUCUAAAGUGUGGAGGGUAACAUAGAAAAUUUGUUUUAAAUUUUUAUGCUUUUCUUUGAUUUUUUUCUUGUUAAUUGUGUGCUUGAGCUUGUAGAAAUACAAGUGAUUGAUUAAUGAGCAUAUACAUAGGUUGAUAGUAUUUAAGGUAAAUUUGGUAUCAUGAUAGGUGAUUUUAAAUUUUUGAUUAUUAGAUUAUUAAAUUCUAUAUAUUACACUGUGAAUAGGCAUUAAGCAAUUGAAUGUCCCAAAUGGUAUAGAGAAUAUAAGGAAACAAUCAUGCUAGUAUGAAUGAUAAAUUAUUGAAUUUGUGAUUGUUUGGUUGACUAAAUUUGUGAAUAUUGAGAUACCUAGGGAUAACCUAAGGCAUCGUUUGGUAUGCACCUAAACCUAAAAACCUAACCCUAUUUAUUCAUCCUUAGUACCUAUCUUGAGCCAAAAAACACUUCUUAAUGAACCUCUAUAUAAAACCCAAGCUAAAAAUGAUAAUUUGUGCUUACCCUUUUCUUUGGUCGUAAACUGCAUGAUUAUAGACGUUUGACCAUACAUAUUGAGGAUUAAGUAGAGACAUUACGGUGGUUUUGUAAAAAUAGAGUGAUAAGAAAGAUCAGUGUAGUAUGGUGAUUAUAGGUUAGCUUAAAAGUGCAAAAAGAAAAAAAUCAAAAAGGAGGAAAUUAAGCGAGUAGGAAAAGUACGUGAAAAAUAAAAGCAUUUGUGAGUGAGGUGCUGUGAAAAAGAAAGAAAAGUGACAAAGUAACAACAAUAGAAAAAUUUGCUCAUUAAUGCACGAAAAUGCGUGAGCUAGUCGUAGUUACUAUAUGAUGCUGAGAUUUCCUAUAAAGAGACAUAAGAAAGGUCAGGGAAGGAGAGAGAAGGCGGUGAGUGGGAAAAGGGUCACUAAGGGGGAGAAUAGGGGACAAUAUGAUGUACAAAACUACUUUCGUGCUUGAUUAUGUGUAAAUAUGAUAUGUUUAUUCAUGUGUUUCAAACCAACAUUUGUACCAUACUGACUCAAGGGUCGUCUUUUCAUUAGUUGUUUUUGUUUGUUUUGCUUGAGGGAAGCAAUGACUUAAGUGUGGGGGAGUUUGAUCUACUAUAAUUCAGUGUAGCAGAUUAAACUAGCUUUUGCACUUUAGGAGUUUGAACACAAGCAUUUUGGUUAAGUUUUAUAUAUGUUUCCAUAAUUUUAGUUAAGUUCAAUAAAAUGUGUAAUUUGAGUCUUUUAUUGACCUUAGGGUCUGAAUGAGGCCUCAGGGUGAGGUAAUAUGCUUUGUGAGCGUGUAGGAGACCAUUAGAAGGCGUGCUAACUUGAUAAUAGUUAUUGUGAUACAACAUGGAGAGCUAGAUAUCGCAACAUAGAGAGAGGAAUAGAAGAAUUCCAAGACUGCCUUUAAUGUCACAACAUAGUCUGAGGAUGUUGCGACACAUCCCUAAAAGACACACUAAAGAUGAAGCAUACUACCUUUGAUGUCGCGACACAGGACCUGGCAUGUCGCGACAUAGGCACUAUACAGGAAAUAAUUAUGAGCAAGAGGCAUUUUGGUCCGCACAAUCAGGCAUUAAGCACAAGGAUGACAGUUGACUUAGGGUUAAGGACGACAACCACUUUAAAGUCUAUAAAUAGGCUCAAUUAACACAUGUUAUGCAUAACUUUCAUAUUGUAUAAUUUUCUUCCUAGUUCUAUUCUUUAGUUUUUCUCUUCUUUUAGGCUUUAGGUUCAUUUUAGUUUUCGUUCUUUGCUUUGUAGAAGAAAUUAGAUUUGUGAAACAUGAUCAAACUCUGUAAGGAUUCAACAUUCUAUUGUAAUUCAAAUCAAGCUUCUUCUAAACCUUAUAUUCUUGAAUUAUUUUUCAUGUCUAUUCUUUUUAUCAAGUUUAUAUUUUUAUAAGACCCGUGAGGAAUUAACCCUCUUGUGGGGGAUUAGCUAGUGAAGGUAUGAUUAAUUAACUGUUUUGUAGGAUUCUUUUAAGCGGAUCAACUUUUCAGGAAAGGAACAACUUAAAUUCUAGGCCUAACAACCCUAGGAAGUCAUUAAGGUGAGAAUUAACCUGAAAUUUGUAUGGCUUAUUCGUUAACACUUUAACCCUGAAUCAGUUUUGGACUGUGAGGUCGAGAGAUAAGUAGUUCUUGCUGACUCAUUAUUCUAGUGGAAGAUCAGAAAAUCCUACUAGGAUAUUGACUAGUUGAUUGAACAAGAAAACUUGAAGCUAUAAUUGAUUAUGAUUAUCGAAGCAAGCUAAUCACCCAUGCUCAGCUUUGAUAAAUUUACUAUUUGAUUUCUCAUUAUUUCUUUAUUUCUUUAUUUCUUUUCAGUUUAUAUUUAUUACUAUUAAGAAUCCUAAAAACCUUUCUUUUUAUUUGAUCAUAAUAUAAUUCAUCUAAACUAAUUAGAUCUAUUUAUGCUUAGGUUAGAAUUAAUUUAAUGCUCGCCUCCCUUGGGUACGAUUUUCAGAGUACUCAUCUACUACGUAGUAAUUAUAUUACAACCUGACCCGUAUACUUGCGGAUACCAUUUUUUCAUAUAUUUUGUAAAGAUUUCUAUUCUGAACAUUGGUACAUCUGGAGGUGGUCAAAAUCCAACACCGUACUUACUCAAAACCUAUUAGGAAAUUCCUACUUUCUAAAACAAAACCCAAGCACUAGGGCUUCUCUGGUAGGAAUGUUACAUUCUCUUCGUAGAUUGCCACAAAGGCUUCAUUUUCAUAGAUUGCCACAAAAGCUUCCUUAUCAUAGAUUUCCACAAAGGCUUCCUUAUCAUAGAUUACCACAAAGGCUUCCAUUUUCUUGUAUGUUCACGAUAGAGAUUUGCAUAGACUCAUAUUUCGUGAGGUUUUCCCUUUAUCGUCCUGGGUCACGUAGAGAACCCCCUUUUGGGUAAUCACCUUCUUUUAGUUUCUUUUUAUAUGAUUCCAUAGCGUAGCUAUGGUCUUACACAAUAUGGUGCCAUGGCCAUGAACUCUCUUUAAGAGAUUCACAUCGGAGAUCGUGUUUUUAGUCCCAACAGACCACUUUAGAUGACUCUGUAGAGAUAGACACAAACUUAUCAUGCUCAAACCAACUCUCAUCGAAACAUUUCGAGUAGCAUAAAACUAAGACGUAUAUACAUAAUUCAAACAUCUAGAUGCAACCAUAAUUCACACCGACUUACUUUAACUCAAUAGGUCUAUAGCAAGUAUGCUUAUCAUUCUCAACAAACAUUAGCACGAUCAUAAACAUACUUUAAUAACCACACAAAGGGUCACAUACAUAGCAAAUCGUACCUCAAGGAUCACAACAUCAUCUUUCAACCACUCUCUUACAGAUCUACAAGUACCAUAAUCAUACAAAUAAGAGUAAGUAUAGAGACUCGCCUAAUUUUCUCCUACUGUAGUUCAAAGCUCUUUAUCCAGGCUUUAAUUGUGCAAUCAAUAGUAACUACUGCUACAAAAAAAGGAGGCUCAUCAAGAUCUAUUCAUAUACCCCCUAUUCAUGUCUUUUUUAACACUAGGAAUCCCCAAGCAGGGUCCUUUUAUCUUUUAUCUCACUGAUCUACUAAGUCUAACAGAUUUACUCUUCAUAACAUAAUAUACAAAGUCAUAAAUCUUACCUCGACGUGGUUUAAUCAUUGGUAAAGAUCUAAAUCUUCAACUUUAGCUCAUGAGAGAGAAAGAAAUUCUUUGGGUUCUUUUAGAUCUAGACAGAAAUACUUAUUCAAGAAGGAAGAAGAAAAACUCCAUCUUUUAGAUCUAAAUGCCUAUAUAUAGAACCCAAGCUCUUAUUAGAACCUACCACGUGAAAAACACUUUCAAAGCUACAUUUAUAAACGGUUUAUAAAUGUAAAUAGAAAUCCACUAUUUUUUAUAUUCCUAAUUCGUCCCUUUUUUUCUUUCUAACUACCUCGUUAGAAUGUAACCAACACAACAACUCAAUAAAAUAGGCGUACAAUACCUUUGGCAGUAAUCCCCAACACUCUUACCAAAUCUCUUCUUCUUUAUAACUUAAUACAUUCUGAGAACAAUCCUCACUUAACAAUCCAACACCUAUUAUGUGCUCGAUCUAUACUCUAGAACAACAAUUGGGCGAAUAACACUACGCCACUCAGGUUACUUUCAGUUUAACCGCCAAAUUCAAAACCCGCCCAAAAUUGGGUGUUACAUUAUGUUUUUGUGUGAACUCAUACUUUGUGUGUUGCGAAUUCAUGUUGAAUGUUGCCAAGUUAUGUUAGUUGAUGUAUGUGAACUCUUAAGUCUUACUAUUGUUUGACACACGAACCUUUCCUUUGAUGUUUUGUAAGCUUGCAUGUUUACAUCCUAUAUAUGAAAAUAAUUCCGUUGCAAUGUUUUAAUUUAACAUAUUAGUGUCGUAAGUAAGUGGUGUGAUGGAGGCUAGGUUGGGAGUGAACGGAGAGUCACUUUGGUAGAUAAUGUAGCACAUCAGAUUUGGGUCGAACCUACUCGAUCAGGUUUGGGGUGUUACACAACCAUUAUGAUCGUUAUCGGUAACAUUGGUUCUGUAAAACCUUAUGACACCACACCAACCACGAUAGUCUCUCAACCUGGCGUUACAACUAUUAGCCCUAACGUAACCAUUCAUGUCGUGUUUAGUUUUGUCAACCUUGGUUCACUUGGCUUUUUAGUCUUCAUCCAUGUCUUCCACUUCAAUGGAAUUGUGAUUAUUCUAAAAAAUUUUCCAAGUUCUAAAGAUAGCCAAAUAAGCUUUGAGUCGCUAUAUGUAGACCUUGGCCCUUCAUGAUGUGAAGGAUCAAUUUAUUAAGAACUUUUCCUUAGGGCACAGGUUAAAAAUUUUUUCUAUGAAAGAUAAUCCUAUUUUGAUAUAACAUCCCACACAUACUUGUAGCCAUAGUUGUUUGAAAUGGGUGAGAACUCUAGAAAACAGAGUUAUCUUCAACACUUUUAAACUAGUAAUUCAUGCAGAUUUUGAGUGUUUGAUAAAAACUUUUGGAGUUUUUUUUCUGUAAUUUUGUCUUGGUAAAUGAUACUAAGAAAAUUUUGCUAAUUUGAUCAUUUUAUACACUAAAACACAUAAUUUUUGAAGUUUUUGUGUCAGCUGAUGCACUAGAGGAAAAGAAAGUCUUGAAGUUCACCUUUUGAUGCUUAAUGCUGUAGCAUUUCUACAACAUAAGCCAUGUAGAAGAGGAUUGAUGUAUGGUCAUCUUUUGGUGCCCAAUUAAAGGCCAAUUGGACUUUGGAAAUUCUUUUGACCCAACUUAACGAUUGGGUCAGAAAAAUGGACAGCCUACUAAGGAGAUACGAGCCCAAACUAAUCACUAAGGAGGAGAAGGCCCAACUGUCCAUAAAGGUGCCCAAAUUAGCCGACUUGGUAAAACAUUAAAAGUCAGCCACAAAAUUCCCACAUGUGAUCGUCCGACUCCCCUCCUCUUUUUAAGCUUUCUCUCUCAUGAAUCAAGCAUGAAAUUCAAAGCCAUCCACUCACUUUCCUUAAAGCAAAGGCUGACCACAUAAGAAGAGAGAAUCAAGGGUGUAAUUUGCUAAAAAUAGACGCCCUCUACAUUUAGAAAUAGGGGCUAACUAUUCAUUCAUUUCACUCAUCCGUCACUCACCAUCUCUUCUCUUAUUCUCUAUUCUUUCAUUUCCCGUUCGAGAGAGCAACACAAGAGUUUGAGAGGAACAUUUUAGAAGUUGUUUUUAAUAGUAAAAUUUUACAUUCUUGAAGGCAAUUGUGUGAAGGAGCAAAGCAAAAGGAAGGAGAAAAAGUAACGCAAGCUGAGCUACAGAAAAACACCUGAUUUGUCUUCUAGUUUCUUUCAUUUUUAAACUUUUUAUUUUUGUUCUGAAUUGAUGAACAUGAUUGCUAAAUAUUUUUUUGUUUCCAGUUUAAUUAAAAUGGUUUAAUUUUGUUGUUGUUAGAUUGAUUGCGUUCAUUUAGCUUAAAUUGUUAUUAUUAUGUUAAUGUUGUUAUGUGCUUUGGUUGUUUAUGCAUUCAAAUAGGAACAUGAACAUGCUACUCAUGCAUUAUGAAUGUAGGGAAUCAACUGAAUUAAUAAUUUAAUUCUAACAAGAUUGUAAUUAAUUGACACAAUAUUUGAGUGAUGCAUGUUUGGUCUUUUUAUGAUAAAUUAGGUCAAAAUAGUAAUAAUACCAAAAGAAAUUUAUUACUUGCAUAACCUCAGAUUAAAGUGAUUAAACUGUUUCAGUAUAGAUGUAUCACUGUCACUUCACAUAAUAUGAUGUCUACUUAUGAGAUUUUCAAGUUGACUAAACAUAGAAAUAUGCUAGAAAAACUUAAUAAUUAAAUAAGUAUGACUUCUUGAGUUAAUAAAUAGCUAAAUUUUCAUGGUUUACUUCCAUAACAUCAUUAACAUUAUUUUAAUAAUUUUAAGUUAAAAAAGGUAAUUAAUCUAACUUAUUCAUGUAAUUGAAAUUAAAUCUUGUGAAUUGUUGCUUUUGAUUCUAUGCUUACAUUUCUAUUUGUUUUUGCAUAAUUAGUUAAUUUUAGUUUAGUUAAUUAGUUAAUACAAUCUACUCCCAAUUAUUGUCCAUCACCAAUUUGCUAAGUUUUUAUUUUCACAAAUUUGCAUAUACAGUCAUUGUGGAGACGAUACUUUUUUACUUACUAUUUUAUUACUUGUUGACGAUUGUGUACACUUGCACAUCAUUAGAAUAUUUUGUGACACUAGGCUAGACCAGUCAGUAAGACCGUUUGGACUAGGAUUCGAUCGAAGUAUUGAUCCAGAGAAAGGCAUCAAACCAGUUGACUCGUAAACCGCUACGGACCUGAUGAACUAGGCCAAAAACUUGAUCGAACUGGUAGUUAAAUUGGUUUUUUAAUUUUUUAAAUAUUUUUUGUUUUUAUGAUUUUUUAAUGAUUUAUUUAAUCAGACUCUAUGGAUUAGUUAAACCAGUAAAUCGAUUGCCUAAUUGAUUCAACCACCAAAUCGAUUUUGAAAACCUUACUUGUAUCAAAUAAUGAUUUUUAAUUCUCAAAAGUCAAAAUAUUAUGUUAGCAUGUCAAUAUAGCGUACAUGUGCCUUAAUGGUUCACUCUUUAAAAAAUGGUAAAACAUCAACAAAAACAUCUAGAUUUUUUUAAUGAAGAAGCUUUAUGAAGCUAAAGGGACUUGGGUAGAAGAAGUCCUUUGAAUCUUAUGCGUUAGAACAACCUUGAAAGGAACAUGGCACACUCCAUUCCAAUUUCCCAAUGGCACUAAAGGAAUUGUCUCUCUUGAAAUAGGCAUCUAUAUUGUAUUGACUAAAUACCCUAACACUUAAUUCAAUGACAAGAACCUAUGAGCUGACUUAGACUAAUUGAAAAAGUCAAGGCUUUUGUCAAAAAAUUGGUUAGAGCAAAACAAAUAGCUAGAUGGUAAAAUAGAAGGGUCAAAUACAAGCAAUUUCAAGUAGAAGUUCUAGUGCUAAGGUGUUGUGAAGUAAGUAGGCCACCUUCUAAAAGAAAAAAAAUUUUCACUUAUGUAGGAAUGGCCUUACAAAGUGUUUAGCGUCUUAAGUCAUAGUGCCUACAAGGUAAUUGCAAUGAAAAAUAAACUUGUCAGCAACUCCUAGAAUGCUAUUUAUAUAAAGAAAUAGUACACCUAAAGGCAUUCUCUUUAUGAUUAUAUACUCUAUACUCGCACGAAGCAAAUAUCUUUGGCAUACAAAGCAACAGAUACCGAGCAUGACAUAUUAUGCAACAAAAAUAAUAUAGGAUAAUGCAUUUAUAUAUAUAUAUGUGGGGCUCCCUUAACCCAAUAAAGGAGUUUAAACAUUUAGGGUAUUUAGUCUCUCUAACAUCCAAAUGGAAAACAAGCCAACAAAUUCAAUAAAAAAAUAGAACUUUUAACCCUUUGAAGGGGAUGAAUAAUUAGCAAUAGUAUCAUUUAACAUGGAGCUUCGAUCAAACGAUGGUAGCAACAUUAAUAGAAGACUUAGAAACAAUAAUGACACCAUCAACCUUGGGGAAUUCUCUAGCAACCUGGGCCAUAUUUCCUCAAGUUCCUCUUCAAAAGGGUUGAUAACAUUGUAGUCCAUGGAAAUUAAUUUGAGGUCUUUAAAGAAAAACACAUUCGACCAGUCCAAAGGUCAAUAUAAAAAUUGCACCUCCAUUGAAGUGGCCUUAUGAUAUACUUUGGCAACUAACAUAACCUCCUCAUUCCCGGUUCUCUCUUCUUGCAAUUACCUAUAAAGGUUUUUAAUUUUCUUCUUUGUUGGCUUAGCCUCUAUAUGAAGUUUCUCUAUGCCAGUAGCAUGCUGAGUUGCUACCAAAUUGGUGAACUAGUGCACCACAGUAAGCUCUGCCUUCAACUCAUGUUCGAUUGCAGUUAUUUACUAAAAUCUCUCUUUGCCACCUUCACAUUUAGCUCUUGUGACUUCAACAAGACCUUUUUGGCUUCAUUCUUUUUCAAGAAAUUGUCUUCUAUUUCUGUUGCACUUUGGCGUGACGCCACCUCCUUCCAAUUAGCAUCAAUGGCGCUUACUUACCCUGAAAUCACCUAUUUGAUUAUAUGGAUAUAAACAAAACGCCGAAGUAGCACUACUAAACAUUAACUCUUUGUGAAAUAUGCCAUACCUCUUCCACAGUGAUUGCUACGAAGUUAAGCAGGUUGAGAGCACCAAUUGCACCUACGGAUCCAAUCCUAGUCUAGACACUUGUUAACCAAUCACAAUCGGUUUUCUCAUUGAUAACAACUUCACCGACACUCUGAUCUACAACAUACUUCCCCUUAUCCUCAUCUACACUAACAAGUGUCUUAAAAACAAUAUUUCCCUUGUUGUAGAUGGAAUUGGUGCAAGGUCCACCAUGGUUAUCUCUCUUCUUUUUUCAACGCUCUUGUAUUGCACCAUUUCCCUUAGUUUGCUCAUUCUCCCUGUUGCAACAUGUUUUGUAUAAUGCUUUACAAGAAAAAAAACCAAAUGAAUAGAAAACCACAAUUAACAACAUAAACCCUUACACUAGUCAAAACUUAGCUUAUCCCAUAUGCAUUUGGAGAUACUAGUGGCUCUCCCUUUUUUGACUGCCUCAUGCUUCUUAAAUGUAUCUUUCAAUUGGUUCCUAACAUCAAUGGAACCUCAUCCUCAUCAGAUCUACCACUAGGAUUAUCCCUUGAAGAAGAGGUAAUAGCAACAAACCUUAAAUCACCUAUGCUGAAAAAUGGUCGCAAACUCCAACCAAUAGCAGUAAGUGAUAGAACAAAGUGAGGGAAAUGUAGUGACUCAAAAGACAUACUAAACCCUUACAACAUAAAUUGGAAAUAGACCCUCGUCUUAUUCUCCUUGAGCAAACAAUGUCAUAUUAGGAUCACUACAUGGUAUAAUUAAGAACACAAACAAAAAUAUAUACAAGAGCAAACAACAUUCUUCCCUGGUGGCACACCAAGUUGAACUAGGAUUCCCCUUGAAACCACACCAGUUUUCCAACCUAGGAAAUAUUCUCAAACCUUCUAUCUUGUCAAAACUUCCUUAAAACGAAAUCUUCAUUGCAGAAAGAAGUCCAUAGCCUUAUUCUCUUCACCAAAAACAGAAGUCAACUUGUUCAUAUCUAUAUACCUAGGUCCCCAAUCAACUUCUUUCUCUUAAUAACCACAAAACCCAUCCUUAUUGGCAAUUAUAAUUUCCUUCACCCCUUUAUACACUUUCUUCCACAUAUUAAGAUAAAACCAAUUAUUUAUUUAUUUUGGAUCACAAAUAAAUAGAUUCAGAAAAGGUGUAAAUCCUUUUUCCUAGUAUAGAAAGAAAAACUCGACCAAAACACCCCAUGCAUUAGGCAAAAGUUGGUUAAGGUUUACUCGAUAAUUCUUAUGAAAAUUGUUGAAGAAUGAAUGAAGGGUAGAUGAAAUCCAUAGGCAAAUAAAUAAAUAUAAAAAAGAGAAAGUUAUCACCACAACAUAAUCCUUAAAAGUAAUCAAUGGACUCACCUUUUCAAAGGAUUUUCAAAACACCAUUACAAAAGGCAGAUCAUACACCACAAUUGAUAAAGUGUCUUACUCUCACGUCACAAUUCAAAAUUCUUGUUUUUCUUCCAUGACAUAUGGUAGAGCCCUGUCCCUUAGGGGAACCUGUCAAGCCAAAAAUGACUCAUAUAAUUACUCCCACGACAUAUGGUAGAGCUUUAUCCCUCUAGGGAAGUUAGUAAAAAAUGGCUCUCAUUAAUUUUAUUUCUCCCAUGACAUGUGAUAGAGGCUUAUCCUUCAGAGAAGC
RNAcentral lists this long non-coding RNA (12195 nucleotides) under Gossypium barbadense (sea-island cotton). RNAcentral's name for it is "long non-coding RNA (GBAR_LNC022302)". Lineage: Eukaryota; Viridiplantae; Streptophyta; Magnoliopsida; Malvales; Malvaceae. The record is from RNAcentral.